RNAcentral lists this long non-coding RNA (5233 nucleotides) under Solanum tuberosum (potato). RNAcentral's name for it is "long non-coding RNA (STUB_LNC002881)". Lineage: Eukaryota; Viridiplantae; Streptophyta; Magnoliopsida; Solanales; Solanaceae. The record is from RNAcentral.
ACGAGUGCCACAAUACCUGGACCACUACGUGGUCCCAGAUGCAAAAGGGAAACAGACUCUGAUAGCAAAAGAGCAUGAGUAAUAGCUACUAGAGUAGUAUAAGUAGUGGCAGAUUUCACUAAAGAAGGCAUGGAUGAACUUGCUUUUCUUUUAGUUGCUUAGAAUAGAUCUGGAACCUCCCUUUUCUUCUUUUUUCCUUUGUUUUGCUUCUUGUUAUUCCCAGAAGAAGAGGAACAGGUCCCUCUUGUGACCUGCAACAAGUUCAUCUUUAAUACAAAGUUCCUCUUGUUACAUUUGGUGCUUUCAUUGUCCCUCCUUCUACCAUGGGUGAUGGUGUACACAAUACUCGCCUCAAAUCGCUUGAUGAGGCUGUGAAACAACUUCAAGAACAAUCUGUUGGCCAUGCUAAAGCCGUGGAGUCCAUCAACACUGCCUUACAAGAUAUUGUAACUCAACUGGCUUCGUUGCGUCCUUCGUCGCUGGUGCCAUCUCUAGUCGCUGGUAGCCCUUCUUCAGUUUUGGGUCAAUCAUCUGUGCCACUUCCCCAAACUUUUUAUCAGCAUACUCCCCCACCACCCACACUGAAUCGGCAACCCCCAGUACACCAGGUGCUUCCAGUUCCACCCCAUGGCCUUAAUCCAUUUCGACGUGAUAAACCGGCACCGAUUGACUUGGCUAAGUUUGAUGGAACCAACGCAGAGAGUUGGGCUUUCCAAGCUCAUCAGUAUUUUGACACUUACACUGUUCCAGAUGAGCAACGCUUGAAUGUAUGCUCUUUCUUUCUAGAGGGAGAUGCACGAGAUUGGUAUCAGUGGAUGUACCGGAAUCGCCAACUCUGUGGAUGGGACCACUUCCUUAGGGCUCUUGUUACUCGUUUUGGGUCUAAAUCAAUGGAGGCACCAGAAAGCUUGUUGGCAAAACUACAGAUGCAAACCUCCGUUCGUGACUAUCUUUCUCAAUUUGAGAAACUGGCCAAUCGUACCUCUGAUGUAUCGCCGCCUUUAAUGAAGCAUUUUUUUACCUCUGGACUUCACCCUGAUAUUAAAUCAGAUGUUCUGGCUUUUCGACCCGCGGACCUCAAUGAAGCAAUUAGUCUGGCCUUUUUGCAAGAGCAAAAAAAGUUGGCCCAAGCUGGGACGAUGACCCGGCCCAACUAUCCGUCAAAAAUUCCUGCCAGCCCAUUUUCUUUCCACACCUCUCCUAGCCCUAAAAAUCCGACCCUUUCUUCAAGCUCCUCAGCCCCGACUGCAUCUAUUCCAGGUGUUGGUCGUACAUCAUUCAGGAAGCUAACACCGACAGAGCUUCAACGAAAACGUGAACUUAACCUUUGUUUCAAUUGUGAUGAAAAAUAUCACAAGGGUCAUAAAUGUUCAUCCAUCCCUCAACUCUUUUUACUUCUUGCCGAUGAUGAUACUACAGAGGACUCUCCUUAUGACUUGUCUCCACCCCCAUCAGAUUCACCACCUCCAGCUACCACCAUUGAAAACCCUUCUCUACUUAGCAUCAGUUACCAUGCCUUGUUCGGUGGCCCUCAUCCCUCUACGAUUCGUGUCACUACAUUUAUCAAAGGCCUCUCUGUGCAGAUACUCCUUGACGGAGGUAGCACACACAAUUUUAUUCAGCCUCGUGCUGCCAAAGCACUCAAAUUACUUGUAGAACCUUCUUCGGGUUUUUCAGUUAUGGUCGGAAAUGGCCAAGAACUGCGCUGUUUAGGUGUCGUUCGUGGUGUAGCACUCACCAUUCAGGGCUUCUCCUUUGUCACAGACUUCUUUAUUAUUGACUUGCAUGGUUCGGAUUUGGUCCUUGGAGUUACUUGGUUGGCCACAUUAGGUCCAUGUUUGACAGACUAUGUCAAUCGUACUUUUGAGUUUACACUGGACGGGAAACAUCACCGAUGGCAAGGUGAUCCUGCCCCCUCUCCUGCCCAAAUUAAUAUGUCCACUCUCAGGCGCUUCACUAAGACAGAUUCUAUUUCAUAUUUUCUCCGUCUAGAUCUUCAAUCUUCUACCCUCAUAUCACCAUGCCAUCACCCCCCUGACUUAGCCACUCUUCUAAAUUCUUUUCCAGAGAUUUUUCAUCACCCGUCCUCUUUACCACCUCAACGACCACAAGAUCAUCGCAUUCCCCUCUUGCCAGGAGCUAAUCCUGUAAAUGUCCGGCCAUAUCGUUACCCCCACUUCCAAAAAGCUGAAAUUGAAAAGCUUGUUUCUGAGAUGCUCAAGUCGGGAGUUAUUCGUCCCAGCUCGAGUCCAUAUUCUUCACCAGUGUUGUUAGUGCGUAAGAAGGAUGGUACUUGGCGCUUUUGUGUGGAUUACAGGGCUCUUAAUGCUAUCACUGUUAAGGAUAGAUUUCCAAUCCCAACCGUCGAUGAGCUUUUUGAUGAAUUGCACAAUGCUUGUGUAUUCUCUAAGUUGGACUUAUUAGCCGGAUACCAUCAAAUUCGCCUCCAUCCCCCAGAUAUCGAAAAGACCGCAUUUCGAACUCAUGAAGGCCAUUAUGAAUUUACUGUGAUGCCAUUUGGUCUUUCGAAUGCUCCAUCUACUUUUCAAUCAACCAUGAAUUCCAUUUUUAAGCCAUUUCUACGCCAAUUUGUCCUUGUUUUCUUCGAUGACAUCCUAGUUUAUAGCACGUCUUGGCAGGAUCACUUACAACACCUUAGAUCAGUCUUUGAUCUUCUCCGACAAAAUUCUUUGGUGGUGAAGCAAUCAAAAUGCCAAUUUGGGCAGUCUUCCAUUUCUUGCUUGGGUCAUAUUCUUUCUGAAAAAGGCUUACAAGUUGACCCUGAGAAGAUUAUUGCUAUCGUUUCUUGGCCUUUGCCUUCAUCUGUAAAGGAUGUCCGUGCCUUUCUGGGUUUAACGGGGUACUAUCGUCGUUUUGUCAAAGGAUAUGCCCAGUUAGCUUCACCCCUCACUGAUCUUCUGAAAAAGGACUCAUUUGUAUGGUCCGAUAAGGCUUCUGUUGCUUUUGCCAAAUUGAAAGAGGCUCUUGGCUCCGUCCCUGUUUUAUUCUUGCCUGAUUUUUCCAAGGAUUUUGUGGUAGAAACAGAUGCAUCAGGUACUGGCAUUGGUGCGGUUCUUUGCCAAGACAGUCACCCAAUCGCAUUCUUCAGCCAAAAAUUAUCUUCAAGGAUGCAAGCUGCUUCUACUUACAAUCGUGAAAUGUUUGCCAUCACGCAGGCUGUUCAAAAGUGGCGCCAAUACUUAUUGGGCCGUCGUUUUACCAUUUUAACUGAUCAGCAACCUUUGAAAGCCCUUACAAGUCAGGUUAUCCAGACCCCUGAACAACAACGUUGGCUUAGCAAGUUAAUUGGGUAUGAUUUUGAGAUACGCUUUCGCCCAGGCAAAUUAAAUUCUGCUGCCGAUGCUUUAUCUCGCGUUCCUGCUUGUUUUGCGUUAUCUUUGGCCAUCACUGAAAUAGCUUUGGUUGACAAGCUUAAGGCGUUGAACAAAUCCAAUGAGGAAUUAUUAGCUCUCCAACAGAAAUUGUUGAAUACUCCAGAUUUUAUGUCCUCAUUCUCCUUUCAGGAAGGUCUCCUGUUAUUCAAGAAUCGCCUGGUUAUUCCCAAGGAUGCAUCUUUGCGUCUAAUGCUAUUGGAAGAAUUUCAUGCUUCCAAAAUUGGAGGUCAUGCAGGCGUCGCUCGCACAUUUCACCGACUGUCUUCAAAUUUUUAUUGGGUUGGCAUGCGAUCUGAUGUCAAGAAGUUCGUCUCUGAAUGUCAAAUUUGUCAGCAGAUGAAGGAUUCACAACUGAAACCUGCGGGAUUACUGUCUCCCUUGCCGAUUCCUUCUGAGAUUUUUGCUGAAAUUUCCAUGGACUUUAUUACAGGCCUUCCAUCAUCUCAGGGGCGCACUGUGAUCUUGGUGAUUGUAGAUAGAUUGUCGAAGUAUGGACAUUUUAUUGCUCUAUCUGCAAAUUUUACCAGUCAAAAAGUAGCAGAAGUCUUUGUCCAAGAAUUUGUCCGGUUACAUGGUUUUCCUACCAAAAUCGUAUCUGACCGCGAUCCCAUUUUCAUCUCUGAAUUUUGGACGGAAAUUAACAAACUCCAGGGAACUCAUUUGGCCAAGAGUUCUGCUUAUCAUCCACAAACGGAUGGCCAAACAGAGUCACUGAACAAAUGCCUUGAAAUGUAUCUCCGUUGUUUUGCUACAGAUACUCCUUCUACAUGGGUCCCUCUUCUUCCCUGGGCAGAAUUUUGGUACAAUACUUCAUACCAACACAGCUCCAAGAUGACUCCUUUUGAGGCAGUCUAUGGCCGGCCUCCUCCUAUUGUCUCUCGUUUUGUGUUAGACAGCACUUCCAAUCCUACAGUUUCGGGUUCUUUGCGACAACGCGAUGAAACAUUGGCUGUGUUGAAGUCUAAUUUACUGCAGGCUCAAGAUAGGAUGAAGUUUCAAGCUGACAAAGGUCGUAGGGAGGUGAUCUUUGAUAUUGGUGAUUGGGUGUAUGUCCGUCUUCGACCAUAUAGACAACUUUCAGUUCGUCUGCAACGCCAUUCCAAAUUGAGCAGGCGUUUCUUUGGACCCUUUCAGAUCAUUCAACGCAUUGGUGAUGUGGCUUAUAAACUCGAUCUGCCACCUUCUUCUCGAAUCCAUCCUGUGUUCCAUGUUUCAGUGUUACGUAAGUGUAUCGGCAAACCAACUAAUCAGAUUACACCUAUUGAAUUGUUGGACCAAACUCCCUCUGUCACACUUACACCUGAAGCUGUUUUAAAGACGAGAGAUGUUACCAAAGGGGCACAUAAGGUGCCUCAAUGCCUUGUCAAAUGGGUAGGUUUGCCUAUUGAAGAUGCAACUUGGGAGGACUCAUAUACCCUCUUGCAGCAGUUUCCUCACUUGAACCUUGAGGACAAGGUUCUUCUCCAUGAGGGCGGCAAUGUAAUGACUCCGCAGGACAAGUUGGACAACAACAGGCGUAGUACCAGGUACAAACGAGUGCCACAAUACCUGGACCACUACGUGGUCCCAGAUGCAAAAGGGAAACAGACUCUGAUAGCAAAAGAGCAUGAGUAAUAGCUACUAGAGUAGUAUAAGUAGUGGCAGAUUUCACUAAAGAAGGCAUGGAUGAACUUGCUUUUCUUUUAGUUGCUUAGAAUAGAUCUGGAACCUCCCUUUUCUUCUUUUUUCCUUUGUUUUGCUUCUUGUUAUUCCCAGAAGAAGAGGAACAGGUCCCUCUUGUGACCUGCAACAAGUUCAUCUUUAAUACAAAGUUCCUCUUGUUACACAUGCUCAUAAAA